This 680-nucleotide unclassified non-coding RNA is filed under the name Bombus terrestris (buff-tailed bumblebee). Its description in RNAcentral is "misc RNA ENSBTSG00005037151.1". The record is from RNAcentral. Lineage: Eukaryota; Metazoa; Arthropoda; Insecta; Hymenoptera; Apidae.
CCGGAUGAAAGAGAGAAGCGAAAGAGCAUAUAAAACAGCUGGAGUGAGGUUAAGAGACGCGUGAGGCGUGUGCUAUGCUAAAGGGGAAGAGGUAGAAGAGCACGAAAUAAAAGGAAGGAAUAAAAAUAGGAGCGUGAGUAGCAGCGGAAAGCAGUGACAGGGGCAGAAAUCGAUGGUCCAGGAUGGCAAAGUUUUCCGUCUCCACUUUUCUUCCGCUUUGAAACGUUUGAGGAUUAUCGACCCCGCGAGCAACGUGCGAGUUCUCCAAUGGAAAACCCACUCAUUCACCGAACUCGCCCGAGAUAUCUCUUGCUUAUUACUACCGUGGAAGAAGAAAGAGUGGACGAAGAAGUAAGAAGAAAAGGAGAAGGACCCCGAAGAAAGUUCUGAUGGUCAGAAGGAGUAACUCGGUUGUCACGGAUUGCCAACGGCCAUUGAGACAUUUUAAUUUCCCCGAGGCGACGAGUUUCUUCGUUCUUUCUUGAAGCAUUCAGUUCCCCGUAAUUAAAACGAAAGUUAGAAUCAGUGUGAGUAUGUUAUAUCCAAUGAAUGGAAUUGAACAUCCCAGCCAAAGUUCGAUACUUUUAGUCUGCUUUUCACCGUCACACAAAGCCCGUAAUUACCUUGAUAAAUACAAAACUUUCUAAAUGCAAAACUAAUUAACGAAUUUCGGAUUGUUC